This 80-nucleotide transfer RNA is filed under the name Chytriomyces confervae. It matches the Rfam family "tRNA". Rfam says of the family: Transfer RNA (tRNA) molecules are approximately 80 nucleotides in length. Their secondary structure includes four short double-helical elements and three loops (D, anti-codon, and T loops). Lineage: Eukaryota; Fungi; Chytridiomycota; Chytridiomycetes; Chytridiales; Chytriomycetaceae. The record is from Rfam by way of RNAcentral.
GCCCUUGUGGAGGAAUUGGUAGACUCGGCAGACUCUAAAUCUGUCGCUUCGGCGUGUGGGUUCAAAUCCCACCAAGGGUA